Molecule: microRNA, 22 nt
Filed under: Rattus norvegicus (Norway rat)
Lineage: Eukaryota; Metazoa; Chordata; Mammalia; Rodentia; Muridae
Description: rno-miR-92a-2-5p
Gene: rno-miR-92a-2-5p
Source: miRBase by way of RNAcentral
AGGUGGGGAUUAGUGCCAUUAC